RNAcentral lists this ribosomal RNA (497 nucleotides) under uncultured bacterium. RNAcentral's name for it is "partial 16S ribosomal RNA". It matches the Rfam family "Bacterial small subunit ribosomal RNA", at positions 28 to 507 of the family's 1533-position model. The record is from RNAcentral.
GAUGAACGCUGGCGGCGUGCCUAAUACAUGCAAGUCGAGCGAAAAGAUAAUGAGCUUGCGCCUUUGACGUUAGCGACGGACGGAUGAGUAACACGUGGGUAAGAUACUUAUAUUACUGGGAUAACUUCGGAAAACCAGAUCUAAUACCGGAUAACAUUACCAACGGCAUGGUUCUAAAGAGAAUGAUAGUUUUGCUAUCUCUUAUAGCUGGACCCGGGCCGUAUUAGCUAGUUGGUAAGGUAACGGCUUACCAAGGCGACGAUACGUAGCUGACCUGAGAGGGUGAUCGGCCACACUGGAACUGAGACACGGUCCAGACUCCUACGGGAGGCAGCAGUGGGGAAUCUUCGACAAUGGGCGCAAGCCUGACGGAGCAAUGCCGCGUGAGUGAUGAAGGCUUUCGGGUCGUAAAGCUCUGUUGUUAGGAAAGAAAAGCAGCGUGAGAAACUCCCGCUGUCUUGACGGUGCCUAAUGAGAAAGCAACGGCUAACUUCGUG